UUAACUACCAACUACUAAAUAACUAUCCACUAUAAAUACAAAAUUUGAAUUGUCAAUAAGGACACAUUUGGCCUAAUUGACUUGGAAUGGCCAGAUUGUUCUUCAACUUCAAAAUGAACUUGCAAAGCUUCAACAUAUUCCUUCAUGAAUCCUUGAAGUGCUUCCUUCAACCUCUUGGAUCUUAGCCUUGUAAUUGGUCCUUGAGGCAAUGCUAGCUCAUCAUUUUUGGUGUUGUUGGUCGUGCUUACAUCAUCCCCUCCCUCUUGAAAAGGAUUCGUCCUCGAAUCUGUAC
RNAcentral lists this long non-coding RNA (292 nucleotides) under Manihot esculenta (cassava). RNAcentral describes it as "long non-coding RNA (MESC_LNC005003)". Lineage: Eukaryota; Viridiplantae; Streptophyta; Magnoliopsida; Malpighiales; Euphorbiaceae. The record is from RNAcentral.